This 368-nucleotide long non-coding RNA is filed under the name Salvia miltiorrhiza (redroot sage). RNAcentral's name for it is "long non-coding RNA (SMIL_LNC009111)". The record is from RNAcentral. Lineage: Eukaryota; Viridiplantae; Streptophyta; Magnoliopsida; Lamiales; Lamiaceae.
AGACUGAAGGUGGGGAUUAGAGGCGGUCGGCGAUGGCUGGUUGUUGUCGUCCGUCCGACACAGAGUGAGAGAAAGAGAGGUAGGGGCCGGGCACGCGGCGGUGGUUAGCUCCGCUAGCCACUGUGGCCGCCGGACUUCGGAGAGAUGCAGCGGCGUUCUCAGUUUGUGGGAGUGUGUGCGUGCUCGUUCGGUGAGCGAGGAACGAGAGAGAGGACGAGGUAGAGGGGUUUAAGGAUCGAGCGGCCGGCGGCCGGCGACUCUACCGCCGCCGGAGAAGGAAGAAAAGGGGGGGAAGGCGUGCUGCUGCGCGCAGCUUUGUGUGUGUGAGUAUAUGCGUGUGAUUGUGUGUGUGAGGGUGUUAAAUGAUG